UAGUGGCGAACGGGUGAGUAACACGUGGGCAAUCUGCCCUUCACUCUGGGACAAGCCCUGNGAAACGGGGUCUAAUACCGGAUAACACUCUGUCCCGCAUGGGACGGGGUUGAAAGCUCCGGCGGUGAAGGAUGAGCCCGCGGCCUAUCAGCUUGUUGGUGGGGUGAUGGCCUACCAAGGCGACGACGGGUAGCCGGCCUGAGAGGGCGNCCGGCCACACUGGGACUGAGACACGGCCCAGACUCCUACGGGAGGCAGCAGUGGGGAAUAUUGCACAAUGGGCGAAAGCCUGAUGCAGCGACGCCGCGUGAGGGAUGACGGCCUUCGGGUUGUAAACCUCUUUCAGCAGGGAAGAAGCGAGAGUGACGGUACCUGCAGAAGAAGCGCCGGCUAACUACGUGCCAGCAGCCGCGGUAAUACGUAGGGCGCAAGCGUUGUCCGGAAUUAUUGGGCGUAAAGAGCUCGUAGGCGGCUUGUCACGUCGGAUGUGAAAGCCCGGGGCUUAACCCCGGGUCUGCAUUCGAUACGGGCAGGCUAGAGUGUGGUAGGGGAGAUCGGAAUUCCU
This 565-nucleotide ribosomal RNA is filed under the name Streptomyces sp. 340G02. RNAcentral's name for it is "bacterial SSU rRNA". It matches the Rfam family "Bacterial small subunit ribosomal RNA", at positions 93 to 671 of the family's 1533-position model. The record is from RNAcentral. Lineage: Bacteria; Bacillati; Actinomycetota; Actinomycetes; Kitasatosporales; Streptomycetaceae.